GACGAACGCUGGCGGCGUGCCUAAUACAUGCAAGUAGAACGCUGAAGAGAGGAGCUUGCUCUUCUUGGAUGAGUUGCGAACGGGUGAGUAACGCGUAGGUAACCUGCCUGGUAGCGGGGGAUAACUAUUGGAAACGAUAGCUAAUACCGCAUAAUAGUAGAUGUUGCAUGACAUUUGCUUAAAAGGUGCAAUUGCAUCACUACCAGAUGGACCUGCGUUGUAUUAGCUAGUUGGUGAGGUAACGGCUCACCAAGGCAACGAUACAUAGCCGACCUGAGAGGGUGAUCGGCCACACUGGGACUGAGACACGGCCCAGACUCCUACGGGAGGCAGCAGUAGGGAAUCUUCGGCAAUGGACGGAAGUCUGACCGAGCAACGCCGCGUGAGUGAAGAAGGUUUUCGGAUCGUAAAGCUCUGUUGUAAGAGAAGAACGAGUGUGAGAGUGGAAAGUUCACACUGUGACGGUAUCUUACCAGAAAGGGACGGCUAACUACGUGCCAGCAGCCGCGGUAAUACGUAGGUCCCGAGCGUUGUCCGGAUUUAUUGGGCGUAAAGCGAACGCAGGCGGUUAGAUAAGUCUGAAGUUAAAGGCUGUGGCUUAACCAUAGUACGCUUUGGAAACUGUUUAACUUGAGUGCAAGAGGGGAGAGUGGAAUUCCAUGUGUAGCGGUGAAAUGCGUAGAUAUAUGGAGGAACACCGGUGGCGAAAGCGGCUCUCUGGCUUGUAACUGACGCUGAGGCUCGAAAGCGUGGGGAGCAAACAGG
This 765-nucleotide ribosomal RNA is filed under the name uncultured Streptococcus sp. RNAcentral's name for it is "bacterial SSU rRNA". It matches the Rfam family "Bacterial small subunit ribosomal RNA", at positions 28 to 776 of the family's 1533-position model. The record is from RNAcentral. Lineage: Bacteria; Bacillati; Bacillota; Bacilli; Lactobacillales; Streptococcaceae.